This 421-nucleotide ribosomal RNA is filed under the name uncultured bacterium. RNAcentral describes it as "bacterial SSU rRNA". It matches the Rfam family "Bacterial small subunit ribosomal RNA", at positions 355 to 774 of the family's 1533-position model. The record is from RNAcentral.
UGAGGAAUAUUGGGCAAUGCCCGCAAGGGUGACCCAGCAACGCCGCGUGGAGGACGAAUGUCGUAAGAUUGUAAACUCCUGUUAGAGGGGAAGAAUAGUACCGGUUGGACCGGUAUAUGACUGUACCCUCAGAGAAAGCCCCGGCUAACUACGUGCAGCAGCCGCGGUAAUACGUAGGGGGCAAGCGUUGUCCGGAUUUACUGGGUGUAAAGGGCGCGCAGGCGGGAUAAAAAGUCAGUGGUGAAAUCCUACAGCUUAACUGUAGAACUGCCUUUGAUACUUUUAUUCUUGAGUUCGGGAGAGAGAGACGGAAUUCCAGGUGUAGUGGUGAAAUACGUAGAUAUCUGGAAGAACACCAGUUGCGAAGGCGGUCUCUUGGUCCGACACUGACGCUGAGGCGCGAAAGCGUGGGGAGCAAACA